AUCCAGCUGGCGAGUCUCAAAUAAGACGAAACUCGCGUCCUGGAU
This 45-nucleotide non-coding RNA is filed under the name Schistosoma mansoni. The record is from RNAcentral. Lineage: Eukaryota; Metazoa; Platyhelminthes; Trematoda; Strigeidida; Schistosomatidae.